AAAAUACUCCAAAAAUUCAAAAUCAGUGUUAAAAAUCCUUUUUGGCCAAUUUUGGGGUUAUGGUAUAAUGGCACCGUCUUAUUCCGACGACGACACCGCCGUACUCUAACGAUGGCACCGCCGCCCGCGGUGGCGGUUUGCCUUGGCCUGUCCAUUUUCAGUCGGUUUCGAUCGCCUUUAUAUAUAUUACUGUGAAAAAACACGUUAGAGUAUCUAUAUUGGCUUUAAAAAAUUAGAAAAUAGAAACCUACCAGUGGUGGGAUUUCUGGUGUGACAGCUCCGCUGGUUCACCUUCGCGGGUGGGAGUUUUUUUUUUUAGUCAACUUGUAGAAAACAGAACGAUGUACACAACGAUAGAAAAAUCACACGGAACGAGAAAUGGG
This 383-nucleotide long non-coding RNA is filed under the name Carica papaya (papaya). RNAcentral describes it as "long non-coding RNA (CPAP_LNC014272)". The record is from RNAcentral. Lineage: Eukaryota; Viridiplantae; Streptophyta; Magnoliopsida; Brassicales; Caricaceae.